CCAACGGUCCUUUUCAGGGCCACAUUUUGUUGAAAACAAUUUGUUG
Molecule: non-coding RNA, 46 nt
Organism: Trichinella patagoniensis
Lineage: Eukaryota; Metazoa; Nematoda; Enoplea; Trichinellida; Trichinellidae
Source: Rfam